RNAcentral lists this RNase P RNA (237 nucleotides) under Campylobacterales bacterium. RNAcentral describes it as "partial RNase P RNA component class A". It matches the Rfam family "Bacterial RNase P class A", at positions 118 to 367 of the family's 367-position model. Rfam says of the family: Ribonuclease P (RNase P) is a ubiquitous endoribonuclease, found in archaea, bacteria and eukarya as well as chloroplasts and mitochondria. Its best characterised activity is the generation of mature 5'-ends of tRNAs by cleaving the 5'-leader elements of precursor-tRNAs. Cellular RNase Ps are ribonucleoproteins. Lineage: Bacteria; Pseudomonadati; Campylobacterota; Epsilonproteobacteria; Campylobacterales. The record is from RNAcentral.
AGGGGCUUUUGCUCUUAUGAAAGAAGAAGGUCAUAGUGAAAGGGUGAGGUAAGAGCUCACCAGUGCUUAUGGUAACAUAGGCAGCUAGGUAAACCCUGUCCGUAGCAAGAAGCAAUGGUAUUGAGUCUCAUUAGGUCAUUGGAUUGACAAAAGUGCUUCGCUCGAGCGUAUGGGCAACCAUACGCCUAGAUAAAUAACUACCCACGACAGAACACGGCUUAUCGUCAUACCUGACUA